UCCAUAUGUCCAUCCAUCUAUGGACAUGAGCAUGUUAAAGCUGGAAUAACUUUGCAUUGUUUGGUGGUGUAUGGAAACAUUCAAUGGAUCGGAAUAAGGUUCCAGUCCGAGGAGACAUCCAUGUCAUUGUUGUCGGCGAUCCAGGUCUGAGGAAGAGUCAAUUAUUGCAAGCAGCAGC
Molecule: long non-coding RNA, 178 nt
Organism: Hibiscus syriacus
Lineage: Eukaryota; Viridiplantae; Streptophyta; Magnoliopsida; Malvales; Malvaceae
Exons: 3
Source: RefSeq, a predicted model, not a curated record